RNAcentral lists this ribosomal RNA (496 nucleotides) under uncultured bacterium. RNAcentral describes it as "partial 16S ribosomal RNA". It matches the Rfam family "Bacterial small subunit ribosomal RNA", at positions 29 to 507 of the family's 1533-position model. The record is from RNAcentral.
AUGAACGCUGGCGGCGUGCCUAAUACAUGCAAGUCGAGCGAACAGAUGAGGAGCUUGCUCCUCUGACGUUAGCGGCGGACGGGUGAGUAACACGUGGAUAACCUACCUAUAAGACUGGGAUAACUUCGGGAAACCGGAGCUAAUACCGGAUAAUAUAUUGAACCGCAUGGUUCAAUAGUGAAAGACGGUUUUGCUGUCACUUAUAGAUGGAUCCGCGCCGCAUUAGCUAGUUGGUAAGGUAACGGCUUACCAAGGCAACGAUGCGUAGCCGACCUGAGAGGGUGAUCGGCCACACUGGAACUGAGACACGGUCCAGACUCCUACGGGAGGCAGCAGUAGGGAAUCUUCCGCAAUGGGCGAAAGCCUGACGGAGCAACGCCGCGUGAGUGAUGUAGGUCUUCGGAUCGUAAAACUCUGUUAUUAGGGAAGAACAAAUGUGUAAGUAACUAUGCACGUCUUGACGGUACCUAAUCAGAAAGCCACGGCUAACUACGUG